RNAcentral lists this ribosomal RNA (510 nucleotides) under uncultured bacterium. RNAcentral's name for it is "partial 16S ribosomal RNA". It matches the Rfam family "Bacterial small subunit ribosomal RNA", at positions 28 to 507 of the family's 1533-position model. The record is from RNAcentral.
GACGAACGCUGGCGGCGUGCUUAACACAUGCAAGUCGAACGAAGAGCGAUGGAAGCUUGCUUCUAUCAAUCUUAGUGGCGAACGGGUGAGUAACGCGUAAUCAACCUGCCCUUCAGAGGGGGACAACAGUUGGAAACGACUGCUAAUACCGCAUACGAUCUAAUCUCGGCAUCGAGGAUAGAUGAAAGGUGGCCUCUACAUGUAUGCUAUCCCUGCAGGAGUGGAUUGCGUCUGAUUAGCUAGUUGGAGGGGUAACGGCCCACCAAGGCGAUGAUCAGUAGCCGGUCUGAGAGGAUGAACGGCCACAUUGGGACUGAGACACGGCCCAGACUCCUACGGGAGGCAGCAGUGGGGAAUCUUCCGCAAUGGACGAAAGUCUGACGGAGCAACGCCGCGUGAGUGAUGACGGCCUUCGGGUUGUAAAGCUCUGUUAAUCGGGACGAAAGGCCUUCUUGCGAAUAGUGAGAAGGAUUGACGGUACCGGAAUAGAAAGCCACGGCUAACUACGUG